GACUUCUAGGAGAGGAAGAAAAUAGAAUUAUGGAUCAUGGUGUAAUACACAGCUGGAGAAGAGAUGAAACAGAUGGAAUCGGGCUAUAUUAUCUACUAAGCUUUUUAAAAUGUAUUUUUGAGAAGAAAUGUUCCAAGUAUACUAGACUAGCUUUCUUUGGCCAGUAUUUUUGUGAGUUGCAUUGAAAUGGGAGUGAGAAGAACUAUGAUAAAUGGGUUUACCAACUGACUAGCACAAGUCUAGUUGGAAAGAUAAAAGGGUGGCAUGGGAAUUAUGCUUCAUAAAAGGACUGACACUGAAAAAAAUAUAGUACAAAUGAAGACAUUACUCUACUUCGGGAGCUCUGAAGAAGGAUAAUUACUGCUGCUCUUCAUGUUAGAGAUUUUCAAUGAGAUGAUUCAAAAGAAACAGAAUAAAAUGAGCGAGGGUAUGCCAGCAAUUGCCUUGUACAAGAACUGGCAGGAAGCCUCCUCUCAAAGUGCUGCAUUUUUUGAGAGGAGCUCAAGUGCCCUAGUGGUGACCAGGAUGGAUAGGAACAUUAUUGUUGGAAACUCCGGAGUUAUCAUUACGAAGUUUGGUCAGAGCUAGCACGGUGUGUAUUCGGAGUGUGAUCCUCUUCCCAUUUAAGCAAUAAAAGCCUGAAGCCAGCAGCCUUACACAAAGGUAAAUCCAACACAACUGAGGGGAGCACUGACUUCCAGCUGCUUGGGCUCCAGGUUCUGAGGGUGAUUUAUUUUCAUCACAAACUGUCAGUUUCUGCUGAGCUUUUCACUGACCCCCUAAAGGUAUAAUUUGUUUGCAUUUCCUGUGAUCAAAUCCAUCCUUCAUCUUAUUGUCAGUCAUUCUCUCACAGAAUUAACUGAAGAUUGCUUUUCUUUAAUGAUGUCUUACCAUAUAGAUAAACCAUAAAGGGUUUCUUUGCCUGGAGGACAUGAAGUGUUGCUAAUUUAAACUGAUUUAUGAAGCGUCUUUUGAUGCUUUCACUGAGCAGCACACUAAAGCCACUUUUCAAAAACAUAAAAUCCAAGAGUUCAGUGUUCCCCACUCUUUUCAGAGUGGCAAAAUUUGUGCCCGCACAGUCCUAGAAGUGUCAUGUACCCCUGAAACAAUCAUUGAAGGGGUUAUAUCAUAACUAGUUUUAACAGCUCCCUGAUAACACUGCAAUUGUGCAAAAAACACAAAACCUUGGAGUGUCUGGGGUAAAUGAGUGUCCAGGGCAAAGCUAACAAGACAUACAAACCCGUAUUUCAUUUUGCAAAUUUUCUUCACAAAACUGACCUAAGGCUAGAGUAAGGCGAGGUCUCUACACAACUCUGAAGGGGCUUUGGUAUAACAGAAAGCAGAAGAGAUUUGUAUUAUGUUCUUAGAGCUUAAGUGGGUUGUUGCAAAGAGGAUUUGACAAAUCUAAGGGCUGAAUUGCUGACAGGUGAGGUGGGGUAGCUGUUAAUGCCUUCAGACUGCCUGAAAAGGCUGAUCUCUGAAUGGGCAAAAACAGUCAGGUAUUUGCGGACUGAAGCUUCUCUGGCCUGGCUGCCACUUUGUCUGCUGUCAAAUGCUUCCACUUGAACAACUUUCCUAAAGCAAUGAGCAGUAAAUUGGACCACAAACAGCACCUCCAUUAGAUCCUGAGCCUUCUCCCAAAGUCACCUGAAGUCUAUAGGACUCUUUAGUGGUUCCUGAAAUCAGAUUCUACUUACUGGGUCUAAGUGAAGCUGCCUGGACUGGCUGUCUGUCUUAACCUUCUCCAAAGAAGGAAUAUUUCCAAGUCAAAUCUUGCAUCAAAUGAAGUCUAGGGGAAAGCUGAUAAAAGCAACUAGGCAUUCACCACAUAGGAUCUGGAGAGGAGGGAGACAGCUCUGCCUUUAAAAUCUCUUCCUGCUUAAAAAGUGAUUCUCUGUGUCUUAAAUAGCACAUCUUCAACUCAGCAUUUGUCCCUGAGAAAUCUGUUCGAUGGUGUAUAAUUAAACAGCACAAAAUACAGAUGUAA
This is a long non-coding RNA of Anas platyrhynchos (mallard), 1987 nucleotides long. RefSeq lists it as uncharacterized. The record is from RefSeq and is a predicted model, not a curated record. Lineage: Eukaryota; Metazoa; Chordata; Aves; Anseriformes; Anatidae.